CUACGGGUCGCUGCAGUGGGGAAUCUUGGACAAUGGGCGCAAGCCUGAUCCAGCCAUGCCGCGUGAGUGAAGAAGGCCUUAGGGUCGUAAAGCUCUUUCGCCAGAGAUGAUAAUGACAGUAUCUGGUAAAGAAACCCCGGCUAACUCCGUGCCAGCGAGCCGCGGUAAUACGGAGGGGGUUAGCGUUGUUCGGAAUUACUGGGCGUAAAGCGCGCGUAGGCGGAUUAGUCAGUCAGAGGUGAAAUCCCAGGGCUCAACCCUGGAACUGCCUUUGAUACUGCUAGUCUUGAGUUCGAGAGAGGUGAGUGGAAUUCCGAGUGUAGAGGUGAAAUUCGUAGAUAUUCGGAGGAACACCAGUGGCGAAGGCGGCUCACUGGCUCGAUACUGACGCUGAGGUGCGAAAGUGUGGGGAGCAAACAGGAUUAGAUACCCCCGUAGUC
RNAcentral lists this ribosomal RNA (440 nucleotides) under uncultured bacterium. Its description in RNAcentral is "partial 16S ribosomal RNA". It matches the Rfam family "Bacterial small subunit ribosomal RNA", at positions 339 to 795 of the family's 1533-position model. The record is from RNAcentral.